This 3317-nucleotide unclassified non-coding RNA is filed under the name Leishmania donovani. RNAcentral's name for it is "gene:LdHU3.11.0890(CDS-product:Nodulin-like/Major _Facilitator_Superfamily_putative)". The record is from RNAcentral. Lineage: Eukaryota; Euglenozoa; Kinetoplastea; Trypanosomatida; Trypanosomatidae.
GCAUGCAUACGCUCUCACAGUCGAUCGCUUUCAAGGGAGCGUAGCACCACCCCCGACGAAAACGUCGAAGAGGGUACGCCAUCCGCAUCUUUUCCGCUGCCUGCUUCUCUCUUCCUCGCUUCUGCCGUGCUGUAGCGUCGUCGCAGAGACACCUAUCCCGGAGGAACAGACAAGCCAAAACAGAAAGAAUGCAGCCUCUGCAGCAAGUGCACACAAGCACGCCGACUCCAGCCGCAGGGCCGCCUCCUGUAUACCCUACACCACAACUACACACACACACACCUGAUCGUGCGCACUCAUCAAGCAUACUAUGCAACGUAUGACCGGACAGAAUUAGAACCCGCCCCUCUCCCCCAGAGGGAGCGGGCGGAGGCAUCGGCGGCCGCGGAUGCGCGAGGGCUUUCCCAGGAUGGGACUCGCUCCUGCGAUGAUAGCCUCGAAUCAGAGGCAAAGAAGCGGCGCAUCAGCAAGAUACCCGCCACGUCCAGCGCCUGAACGAGGCGAAGCACUUCGUCUGCUUCACCGCUGCUUCCUUCGCCAUGAUCUGCGCCUCGACAUCGUACGCCUUCAACCUGUUCAGCGGCAGCCUUCGCGACAAGUACAACUUCGACUCGCGCCAGAUGUCCACGAUCAACACGGUGGGCAUGGUGUUCGCCUACUUUCUGUUGCCGUACGGCACGAUAUACGACUACCUUGGCCCGCUGCCGGUGUACAUCCUUGCGUGCGUGCUCGCGUCGCUGGGGCUGCUGCUGAUGGGCCUCACGUUCCAGGGCGUGAUUGCCGGCUCUGUGGUGCGGUUCUGCGUGUUCAACGCGCUGCUGAGCCUUGGCAGUCAGCUGUUCGACCUUGCAACGGUGGUGACGAUGCUGAGCAUCUUCCCGACGCGUCGCGGGUGGGUCGUGGCGCUGCUGAAGACGCUGAUGGGCCUGGGCUCUGCGAUCAUCGGGUCGAUGCGCACGGGCUUCUUCCUGAACACGCCGGCAAACUACUUCUACUUUCUGGUGGGGAUGGUGCUUGUGACCGGGCUGUGCUGCAUUGCGGUGAUGCGGCUGCCGUCGUACCACUUGACGGGCUACCAGCAGAGCCGCCUGAGCGAUGAGCAGAAGGCGGUGCGCGGUGCGCGUGUCGCGGCGUACCUGACGCAGGAGCCGCCGAUGUGGCGCUUCUACCUGAGCAUUGCGGUGGUGCUUGUGCUUGUGGUGUAUCUGCCGACGACGAGCGCGCUGGCGGCGUUCACGAAGGUCGCGAAGACGCAGCACGGCCUGCUUGCCUUCGCGAUCGUGGCCGUGGUCAUCACGAGCUGCUUUCUGCUGAUGCUGGUGCCGUGCCCGUGGCUGGAUCGUUUGACGACGAAGGGGCCGAGGGAUGAUGAGUCGGCGGAGAGCGGUGAGGUGCUGACGGACAUUGACUACAUUGCCCCGCAGUACCAGACAACCUUCCUGCAGAGCUGCUGCACGGUGAGCCUGUGGUGCAUCCUCUGGACGAUGUUCUGCGGCGUUGGCGCCGAGUUCGUGAUCAUCUUCAACGCGUCGCCCAUCUUCUCUGCGCUGACGGAGACGCCGAAGCUGGACACGACGGUGUCUGCGCUGCUGACGGUGCUGAACGGCGCUGGCAGCGCGCUGGGCCGCCUGGCCAUGUCCGUGUUCGAGCACUAUACGCAGAAGCGCAAGGCCGAGGACCGCAUGCCUAUCACCGUCGCCUUCUUUGUGCCGACGACGCUGAUCAUCCUCUCGAUGACGCUGUUCCUGGUACUGCCGGGCCGCUCGCUGCUGGCCGCGUUUGCGCUGGCGUCUCUUGGUAACGGCUUCUGCGCCAGCAUCACCAUUCUCGUCCUGCGCACCAUGUACGCCAAGGACCCCGCGAAGCACUACAACUUUGGCUUCAACGCGCUGUGGAUCGCGGCCAUCCUGCUGAACCGCCUGCUGUACGGCGAGUGGAUUGCGUCUCGGGCCGACAGGCAGGGCCAGAAGGUGUGCGUUGGCCGCGAGUGCGUGAUGAUGCCGCUGCUCGUCAUGAUUGGCAUGAACCUGACGGCGCUUCUCUCGGAUGUGUACCUGCACAUCAGCUACUCCCGCUUCUCACGCAGGGUGCUGGCCGAGCGCCGCCGCCUGCGGGAGGGGGUCGCCGCCGCGGGCAGCUCGGAGCCGAUCUACCCGGAAAAGGAGGUGGCCCGAGGUGAAAGAGUCUACGCACAUGGCUCGGGCAGCAGAGCAGAAGAGCACAUCGAAAGGGCAGUAAGCGAACAGACAGGCGAACGGGAGCGAAGAGGUGUAUGGCGGAGCGGAAGGAUGCCGUGAAGAGUCGUCUGAAUGUAUAUAUGUGUGAUAGAGUCGAGGUGAUUUUGUCGUCGCGCCUCUUCGGUCUCUGAUCACGCAUUUGGUUUGAAGGUUAGCGACUUCUGUUGUGCUUCGUGUGGUCGUGAGACGAUGCCGCGCGCGGUGUUGUGUGGUGAAGGAAAAGCGCAGCUGUAGUGCGUGGUAGCGCUGGUCUUUCAUCUACUGUCGCAAGGGAAUCCCCCUCUCCUUCCCUUCCUCCCCUCCGCCUCUUUCACUCUCUCGUUGAUGCGAACCACCUCUUUUUGUCGCCGUCACUGCGGCAUUACUUGUCAUCGCUGCCACCCACAGCCGCUCAUAACUAGGCGCUUGUGCCGGUCUGUGGCAUCUUUUUUUUUUGCUGCUACUGCGGUUGCUGCUGCCUCUCGUUGUGGCGCCGUUGCCACGCUGCAUCUGCCCAACCAGUCACACGCGCGACUUCACGGCUGAAGUAGUUGCCGUGUUGUGCAUGUGCGUUCGACUGGGGCCGCACAACACACGAGGACACACAAGCGAAAAGAACACUGUAGACGAGCAUCAUCCGCCUUGUUUAGAGUGCUGGCCUAGAUGAUUGAACCGCACCUACACCUUCUCUUUACGCCGCCUUCUUGCUGAUCUCGCUCGACAACCGCAACGACAACAGACAGCUCCGUCCGCACGCGCGUAGGUGAGCCGCGUCCUCCUCGCCGAGCUGCUUUGCGUCUCGCGCAUUUUUGUUUUCUGCUGGUUGCUGCCCCUCAUCAUGCUUUCCACCACAACCCUCACAGAUGUUUCUCUCGCGUCUUCCGUCUUUUCACGGAUGAGCGUCGUUGAGCGCCUGCCCUCCUUAUCAUCCUCAUUUUGUUAUCACUUAUCGUCACUCGCCAGCACUGCACCCCGUCUCCCUCUUCUCCGGCUCAUCUUGUGCCCUCUCUCCCUCCCUCUGUUUGCAUUCAUCUUGCGGACGUUGUCCACGACACCCUUUUUCGUGUCGUUGGCGGCGUUGGCGUUCGGCGUCUCCUCGAG